UCUUCGCGGGUACUGUCGGGAC
This 22-nucleotide microRNA is filed under the name Mus musculus (house mouse). RNAcentral's name for it is "mmu-miR-1945". The record is from miRBase by way of RNAcentral. Lineage: Eukaryota; Metazoa; Chordata; Mammalia; Rodentia; Muridae.